This 458-nucleotide ribosomal RNA is filed under the name uncultured bacterium. RNAcentral describes it as "partial 16S ribosomal RNA". It matches the Rfam family "Bacterial small subunit ribosomal RNA", at positions 338 to 795 of the family's 1533-position model. The record is from RNAcentral.
CCUACGGGUGGCAGCAGUGGGGAAUAUUGCACAAUGGGGGAAACCCUGAUGCAGCGACGCCGCGUGAGUGAAGAAGUAAUUCGUUACGUAAAGCUCCAUCAGCAGGGAAGAAAUACUGACCUUACGGUCAGCAGACGGUACCUGAGUAAGAAGCCCCGGCUAACUACGUGCCAGCAGCCGCGGUAAUACGUAGGGGGCAAGCGCUAUCCGGAUUUACUGGGAGUAAAGGGAGCGUAGACGGUGCGUCAAGACUGUGGUGAAAGGCCGUGGCUGAACGGUGGAACUGCUAGGGAGACUGGCGGACUUGAGUGCAGGGGGGGUAGGCGGAAUUCGUGGUGUAGCGGUGAAAUGCGUAGAUAUUAGGAAGAACGCCGGUGGCGAAGGCAGCUUACUAGACUGUAACUGACAUUGAGGCUCGAAAGCGUGGGGAGCAAACAGGAUUAGAGACCCGAGUAGUC